RNAcentral lists this ribosomal RNA (484 nucleotides) under uncultured bacterium. RNAcentral's name for it is "partial 16S ribosomal RNA". It matches the Rfam family "Bacterial small subunit ribosomal RNA", at positions 30 to 507 of the family's 1533-position model. The record is from RNAcentral.
AUUGAACGCUGGCGGCAGGCCUAACACAUGCAAGUCGAGCGGAUGAAGGGAGCUUGCUCCUGGAUUUCGCGGCGGACGGGUGUGUAAUGCCUAUGAAUCUGCCUGGUAGUGGGGGAUAACGUCCGGAAACGGGUGCUAAUACCGCAUACGUCGUGCGGGAGAAAGUUGGGGAUCUUCGGACCUCACGCUAUCAGAUGAGCCUAGGUCGGAUUAGCUAGUUGGUGGGGUAAAGGCCUACCAAGGCGACGAUCCGUAACUGGUCUGAGAGGAUGAUCAGUCACACUGGAACUGAGACACGGUCCAGACUACUAAGAGAGGCAGCAGUGGGGAAUAUUGGACAAUGGGCGAAAGCCUGAUCCAGCCAUGCCGCGUGUGUGAAGAAGGUCUUCGGAUUGUAAAGCACUUUAAGUUGGGAGGAAGGGCAGUAAGUUAAUACCUAGCUGUUUUGACGUUACCAACAGAAUAAGCACCGGCUAACUUCGUG